RNAcentral lists this ribosomal RNA (459 nucleotides) under uncultured bacterium. RNAcentral describes it as "partial 16S ribosomal RNA". It matches the Rfam family "Bacterial small subunit ribosomal RNA", at positions 338 to 795 of the family's 1533-position model. The record is from RNAcentral.
CCUACGGGAGGCAGCAGUGAGGAAUAUUGGUCAAUGGACGCGAGCCUGAACCAGCCAAGUCGCGUGAGGGAAGACGGUCCUAUGGAUUGUAAACCUCUUUUGUCGAGGAGCACAAGACGCCUCGCGUGGCGUUCCGAGAGUACCCUACGUAAAAGCAUCGGCUAACACCGCUCCAGCAGCCGCGGUAAUAUGGAGGAUGCGUGCGUUACCCGGAUUUAUGGGGUUUAAGGGGUGCGCAGGCGUAAGAUCAAGUCAGCGGUAAAAUUGAGAGGCUCAACCGCAUCGAGCCGUUGAAACUGGUUGUCUUGAGUGAGUGAGAGGUAUGCGGAAUGCGAGGUGUAGCGGUGAAAUGCAUAGAUAUCACGCAGAACUCCGAUUGCGAAGGCAGCAUACCGGCGCUCAACUGACGCUCAUGCACGAAAGUGUGGGUAUCGAACAGGAUUAGAUACCCGUGUAGUC